GAUGAACGCUGGCGGCGUGCCUAAUACAUGCAAGUCGAGCGAACGGACGAGAAGCUUGCUUCUCUGAUGUUAGCGGCGGACGGGUGAGUAACACGUGGAUAACCUACCUAUAAGACUGGGAUAACUUCGGGAAACCGGAGCUAAUACCGGAUAAUAUUUUGAACCGCAUGGUUCAAAAGUGAAAGACGGUCUUGCUGUCACUUAUAGAUGGAUCCGCGCUGCAUUAGCUAGUUGGUAAGGUAACGGCUUACCAAGGCAACGAUGCAUAGCCGACCUGAGAGGGUGAUCGGCCACACUGGAACUGAGACACGGUACAGACUCCUACGGGAGGCAGCAGUAGGGAAUCUUCCGCAAUGGGCGAAAGCCUGACGGAGCAACGCCGCGUGAGUGAUGAAGGUCUUCGGAUCGUAAAACUCUGUUAUUAGGGAAGAACAUAUGUGUAAGUAACUGUGCACAUCUUGACGGUACCUAAUCAGAAGGCCACGGCUAACUACGUG
RNAcentral lists this ribosomal RNA (497 nucleotides) under uncultured bacterium. RNAcentral's name for it is "partial 16S ribosomal RNA". It matches the Rfam family "Bacterial small subunit ribosomal RNA", at positions 28 to 507 of the family's 1533-position model. The record is from RNAcentral.